Molecule: long non-coding RNA, 1019 nt
Organism: Drosophila gunungcola (fruit fly)
Lineage: Eukaryota; Metazoa; Arthropoda; Insecta; Diptera; Drosophilidae
Exons: 3
Source: RefSeq, a predicted model, not a curated record
GUCAAAAAUUUGAUUAUCUAGUUGGCUUUGAUUCUCAUUGUCAAAAAUCUUAAGCCCUUAAUCAUAACGAAACGAAAUUGUUACGAUAAUACGAAUUUCGAAAUGCAGAAAUACUCACUCGAUGUUCUUCCCGAUGACAACGAUUUUGACGAAGAAGUUUCUCGUCAUAUAAUCCAGUUGAACUUGAUCUUUUUCGCCGAAUUGGAGGACUUUGAUAAUUGGGAUGAUGAACACCUUAAUUUCUUCGAAGAAGCUAGCGCGCCCGAUGAUAAUACAACUGAUAACUUCGAGAGCUACGAUGACCAAUUUAAGUUUUAAGCAUUACGGAAGUAUUUUAUCAUAUACAUCCCAAAGAUAUUUCUUUAAUUCACUUGCAAUUGAUUUAUCUUUGCUUUAAACAAAAUUUAAACUUUCUAAGCAAUCAAUUAAUACAAAACCAUGAAGAAAAAUUCAAAAUAACUACAGUCUUACUAUGUUUAACAAAUUUCAAGAGCUGGUCAUUUCAAUUGUAAUAUGUUUUAUAAAAUCAAGCUGGCAUAGAUACUUACAGUCAAAAAUCUAGAUCUAAAUCUAAAUACGAAAUUCAGAAAUACUCACUCGAAGUUUUUCCCUGUGACUACUAUCUUGAAGAAGAGGUGUCUCAUCAUAAAUUCGAGUUGAACUUGAUCUUUUAAAGGACUUUCAUUAUCGGGAUGAUGGUACCGGGAAUGCCAACAAUGGAGCUAGCGUGCCCGAUGAUAAUCCAACAGCCAAGAGCAACGAUUACAACUGUUAGUUGGAAGCAUUACGGAAGUAUCCAACUUACAUAUAUUUUGCAAGGGCCAUAGGCACCGUUGUUUCCAUUUAGCUUGGCCAUCAUUAUCAUCCAAUAAAGUUCUUGUAGCAUAUUGUACCCUGUCGUCAUUCGUCAUGAUCGGCUUUCGGGAUCGUUUAUUGUCCCAUAGCUCAUCACUCACUUGUGCGCAAAGCGGAUUAGGUUUCACCAAAAAACGUGUCCUGGACAAUGGACUUGAUGGUGG